Molecule: ribosomal RNA, 587 nt
Filed under: uncultured prokaryote
Description: bacterial SSU rRNA
Rfam family: Bacterial small subunit ribosomal RNA
Source: RNAcentral
CCUACGGGAGGCAGCAGUGGGGAAUAUUGGACAAUGGGCGGAAGCUUGAUCCAGCCAUGCCGCGUGUGUGAAGAAGGCCUUUUGGUUGUAAAGCACUUUAAGCGAGGAGGAGGCUACUUAGAUUAAUACUCUAGGAUAGUGGACGUUACUCGCAGAAUAAGCACCGGCUAACUCUGUGCCAGCAGCCGCGGUAAUACAGAGGGUGCGAGCGUUAAUCGGAUUUACUGGGCGUAAAGCGUGCGUAGGCGGCUGAUUAAGUCGGAUGCGAAAUCCCUGAGCUUAACUUAGGAAUUGCAUUCGAUACUGGUCAGCUAGAGUAUGGGAGAGGAUGGUAGAAUUCCAGGUGUAGCGGUGAAAUGCGUAGAGAUCUGGAGGAAUACCGAUGGCGAAGGCAGCCAUCUGGCCUAAUACUGACGCUGAGGUACGAAAGCAUGGGGAGCAAACAGGAUUAGAUACCCUGGUAGUCCAUGCCGUAAACGAUGUCUACUAGCCGUUGGGGCCUUUGAGGCUUUAGUGGCGCAGCUAACGCGAUAAGUAGACCGCCUGGGGAGUACGGUCGCAAGACUAAAACUCAAAGGAAUUGACGG